Molecule: ribosomal RNA, 278 nt
Filed under: Glomeromycota sp.
Lineage: Eukaryota; Fungi; Glomeromycota
Description: partial small subunit ribosomal RNA
Rfam family: Eukaryotic small subunit ribosomal RNA
Source: RNAcentral
AGCAGCCGCGGUAAUUCCAGCUCCAAUAGCGUAUAUUAAAGUUGUUGCAGUUAAAAAGCUCGUAGUUGAAUUUCAGGCCUGGCUGGACGGUCCGCCCUUCGGGUGAGUACUGUCUGUGGUCGGGUCCUACCUUCUGGCGAAGCGUCAUGGCCUUAACCGGCCGUGGCGGGGAACCAGGACUUUUACUGUGAAAAAAUUAGAGUGUUCAAAGCAGGCAAUCGCUUGGAUACAUUAGCAUGGAAUAAUGGAAUAGGACAAUGGUUCUAUUUGUUGGUUUU